GGCUCAAUGGUCUAGUGGUAUGAUUCGUGCUUCGGGAAUUGCUUCCCACAAUCCUGUAAAAAAGGAUUGGAAAAUGUGCGAGGUCUCGGGUUCGAUCCCCGAUUGAGCCC
This is a non-coding RNA of Podospora fimiseda, 110 nucleotides long. The record is from the annotation of a GenBank genome assembly. NCBI's taxonomy places the organism in Eukaryota, Fungi, Ascomycota, Sordariomycetes, Sordariales, Podosporaceae.